Molecule: ribosomal RNA, 425 nt
Filed under: uncultured bacterium
Lineage: Bacteria
Description: partial 16S ribosomal RNA
Rfam family: Bacterial small subunit ribosomal RNA
Source: RNAcentral
GUUAGGAAUAUUGGACAAUGGGCGCAAGCCUGAUCCAGCCAUGCCGCGUGAGUGAUGAAGGCCUUCGGGUUGUAAAGCUCUUUAGUCCACGAAUAUAAUGACUGUAGUGGAAGAAUAAGCCCCGGCUAACUUCGUGCCAGCAGCCGCGGUAAUACGAAGGGGGCGAGCGUUAUUCGGAAUCACUGGGCGUAAAGCGUGCGUAGGCUGUUUUGUAAGUCAGAAGUGAAAACCCAGGGCUUAACCCUGGAAUUGCUUUUGAAACUACAAGACUCGAAUUCGGGAGAGGAUAGCGGAAUUGUCAGUGUAGCAGUGAAAUGCGUAGAUAUUGACAGGAACACCAGUGGCGCAAGCGGCUAUCUGGACCGAUAUUGACGCUGAGGCACGAAAGCGUGGGGAGCAAACAGGAUUAGAAACCCGAGUAGUCC